GUCAAAUUUUGGUACAAAAUUCAAUAAAUUAAAAUUUUUCAUAUCAAAUCAUUAAGAAUAAAAAAAUUAGAUGAGAAAGUAUACUUAAAUCUAUCUCAAAAUUGACAACUUUCUCUUUUUUAAAGAUGGAACCACAAAAACGUUCCCCACUUUGCCCUCACCCACUUUCUCCCUCCGUUCCUUCCCUAUUCUCUUCCAAUUUUUCUGUCAUCUUUUUCUGCUUUCUUUUUCUUUCUCUCAAUAGAGUUUUUCUUUUCCUCUCUUCCGUUUCUUUUUCUUGAUCUAUAAAAUUCCACCGAUUGUUGGAAAGACCAAGAGAGGAAAAUUAAAUCAAAAUUAAAUCACAAGUAUAGGCAAAAGCGCAAGAUAACAACAGAUGAACAUGUUGCCGAGAUUAAACACUUGAAAGAGGAAAAUGAACAGUUAAAUGCUGAGAAUAGAAGGUUAAAACAGAAAAUACUGCUCACCCGUGGGCAACUUGAGCAUCAAUGUUUUUCAGCCCAGGUAUUUAGUUACUAUCCUUAUCGAAAAGGGGUGCGGCUUGUGGAGUUUCUACAUAAUGUGCUUAAUCUAAAGACCCUUAUUCUAGAUCUGGUAUGAAGAAUUCUCUAAGUGCUCUUAUUCAUUUAUCGAUAAUUACAUCAAAACUUGAAGCAUACAAACCAACUAACAUCUCUUUUUAAUUUUGUGUGGGAGUUUAGGCUGAUGGUGAAGAAGUAUUGAGGUCACUACUUAUACUUUCUUGUUUAUCAUUUCAUAUCAAGGAGACCAAAAUUUCUGGAGUUGAUGAAAGCAAAUAUGCGUUUGAAAUGAUUAGUUAUUUCUUGAACUAUGCAAUGGUUCUAGAGAAGCACAUAUUAAGAAUGAUUAACCUGCUUGAAAAAAGAUGAAUUGUGUAUCUUGAAAAAACUAUUGAGGUUACCAACGAAUUCAAAGAAAUGUGAAGUUGUCGUACACUAGUAUUUCUUAUGUUAUGGUUGGAACUAUUCACUAUCUCUAUAAGUUUGGUUUUGUGUAGCACUUUUGAGAAAUUAAAUGCCAUAUGGUGUUGUGGUUAGAAAUGUUCAUUGUUUGCUAUAUGUGUAUUUGGUUUAUGUAACAGGUUAGAACAGUUUGUUGAAUGUAGUGGGUUUGAUUUUGGGUAGCCCUUUUUGUUGGGUUCAGAUAGAAGCAGCUGCUUCGCAUGAUAAUAGAAUCAUUAUUUUGUGGUUUUGAUUUUUCCUCUGUCAUUGAUAUUCAACGUUUCACUCAAUCAUAAAGAACAUCAUAUCAUGCUUGUACGUUAUUUCUACAAGCUAUUAUAUUUGGACUAUAUAACAGAACAAGCCUAUUUCUACAAACUAUUACUGUGCUCCUCGGUAAAGCAUAUGUGCAUCUUGAAUGUUGUACCUUAUUUUGCUGGUGGAUAUAUAUGUGCUUUGGUUUCAUGAGGAAAUGCAAUGAGAUGCUUUAUUUAUUUUUACAGUUUUUGUUGACAGAGGAAAACCAUACUCACUUGAAUCUUCAUUUGCUUUGUAAUACAGGCCAGAAAGACACCAUCAAUGGAAUCUGUUGAUUCUUCUGGUGAAGAAGAGUAAGUUAUUCAUUACAUUUAUAGCUUUCUGUUUUAUUAUUUGGAUUUCUUUUAACUAGUAUCUCUGCAUUUGAAAACUUACUCAGGCUUUGUGCUUCUGCAAUUCUUGCUUAGCACAAGCAUGAAUCUUAGUCCAUCUUAAUCAUUUGAUAGUCAAUUGUUUGUAUGAUCUGACUCUGAGAUUGCAGCUAAUGUGGGCUGGUUUUUUUAAUCAUUGCUGAUUUGUAUUGAUAACAUUUGGAUCAACAAAUUUCCCAUCCUCACUACUUUCCAUAUCUAAAUGAUUGACCUAUUUAAAAACUAAAUAAUCUAACAGGUGAUGGUGAUUCCAAUGAAACAAAUCAACCCCUAAAGUGGAAUAUAAAUCAUUUCCACAAACUAAAGGUAAACAAAAGAAUCAACCCCACAAAUUCUAUUCUAUAAUAAGUAGUAUCAAUUAUGAACUAAAACAAGAUAAAUCGAUGCUUACCUACUUCAAGUAUAGGAAUAAUGAUUGACAAUUAGUUGGUGUGACGGAUUUACUUCUGUUCCAAACCAGAUAGAACAUCUCACCACCCUUUGUGAGUUGAAUUUCGAUUAUUGUAUUCAUUUGAGGUCAUUUCCUCAAGGGAUAAAAAGUUUCACAACACUCAAGAACCUAUACAUUCGAAGAUGCCCACAUUUGGAAAAGUGGUGCAACUAAGGGGGAGGAAAGGGUUGGCUUUACAUAGCACAUGUUCCCUGUAUUGAAAUCACGGCUUAUUUUAGCAUGGUACUCUAAGCGACGAAGAUCCCAUGGCAGUCUCUUUGCAAGGUUUGGUGAUUGAACAUUUGGCCUAGCAAGUAAGUUGUUGAAAUGUAAGCCGGAGUUAUGAAUAACAAGGUAAUGGGCGAGUGAAAAUGCUGUUAUCUAAGUUCAACAUAAUCUGCACCAUCUACGAUUUAUGUUAUUUGGAUUCAUUCGAUUGUAGGUGUUGAGUAAAGUAUGUAUGAUGUAUCUAGUGUAGGUCUAUUCAAUAUUUUUGAGAUUUUUAUAUACAAAAUUCUUAAAAGAUCCAUGUUUAAAUGUUAAUAAUACUAUAUGCUAUUUGCUCAAAAAAUGAACUUGACAAAAUGAAAAAAAAAUGGUAGCUCCUUAGUAGAACCACUAGUCUCUCUCUGGCAUGUAAUAAUUUUGAGAAAGAAAAUAUUGGUAUAGUUAUUGUUUUAUUUUGUAUUCACAUGUACGU
Gossypium raimondii (Peruvian cotton) is the source of this 2781-nucleotide long non-coding RNA. RefSeq lists it as uncharacterized. The transcript is spliced from 4 exons. The record is from RefSeq and is a predicted model, not a curated record. NCBI's taxonomy places the organism in Eukaryota, Viridiplantae, Streptophyta, Magnoliopsida, Malvales, Malvaceae.